GAGUUUGAUCGUGGCUCAGAUUGAACGCUGGCGGCAUGCCUUACACAUGCAAGUCGAACGGCAGCACGGGAGCUUGCUCCUGGUGGCGGACGGGUGAGUAACGCGUGAGGAACCUGCCUUUCAGAGGGGGAUAACGUCUGGAAACGGACGCUAAUACCGCAUGACAUCAGAGGGUCACAUGGCUUUCUGAUCAAAGGAGCAAUCCGCUGAAAGAUGGACUCGCGUCCGAUUAGCCAGUUGGCGGGCAAAGGCCCACCAAAGCGACGAUCGGUAGCCGGGCUGAGAGGCUGAACGGCCACAUUGGGACUGAGACACGGCCCAGACUCCUACGGGAGGCAGCAGUGGGGGAUAUUGCACAAUGGAGGAAACUCUGAUGCAGCAACGCCGCGUGAGGGAAGACGGUCUUCGGAUUGUAAACCUUUGUCCUCGGUGACGAUAAUGACGGUAGCCGAGGAGGAAGACUCGGCUAACUACGUGACAGCAG
Molecule: ribosomal RNA, 484 nt
Filed under: bacterium enrichment culture clone ALO1_GLFRUDD03GP4HP
Lineage: Bacteria
Description: bacterial SSU rRNA
Rfam family: Bacterial small subunit ribosomal RNA
Source: RNAcentral